Molecule: long non-coding RNA, 2252 nt
Filed under: Papio anubis (olive baboon)
Lineage: Eukaryota; Metazoa; Chordata; Mammalia; Primates; Cercopithecidae
Description: lncRNA (ENSPANG00000049411.1)
Source: RNAcentral
AUGCUCCUUUUCAGAAUGAUGAUUGCAGUGGAAACUUUCUUGUGUUUGCGAACGCAGACGGACACUCGACACCAAGUUUCUCCAUGGACGGCAUGCAUUUACAUGCAUAAUACGGCGGAUGUGCCCACUCUGACUGCAGCUCAUUUCCUAAGUCGCAAGAAACGCUGGUAUUUUUCAAAAGUGAUUUCAAAGACUUUGUGUAUGUGCGUGUGUGUGCGCACGCGUGCGUGUAUGAAAGCAGCCAUAUUUAUGAUUUGGACUUAACUAUUUGGGUGUAUUUUCCCAAAUGAUACCAGGGGCAACGUAACAUCUACUGUUUAAAAGCCCCAUGCUAUUCAUAAGAGAUUAUACUGGAGUAAACAUUACAGUAGCAGUAAUGAUCUAAUUAAAAGAAUCAGACAUACUUAAAAGAGUCCUUCUUUCAGGAGGGAGGGGGGAAGAAAAAUCAAUGAUGCAAUCCAUAGUCCGGAAUGGGGCGAAGCAUUUUACUGUGAUCAAACACAGUCUAUCUAGUACAUAUCUGAAGUCCUCUGGUCUUUGUUACUUAAUGUGAUGCGGAAGAUCAGAGAUGCGUGCAGUCUGUGUUCCAGGGUUCCAGCUGAGUCGCUGUCAUAUGUUAAGCUUUUUUUUUUUUUUUAAGUUGGCUAUAAUUCUACCUUACUCCAAGUGAACAGUGUUUCCAUUAAACUAAGCAUUUCCCCAAAUCUGGCAAGAACCUUGCAUGGGGAUUUUCCUGAAGCAACCUAAAUGUGACCCUAAAGCACACCUACGAAUCUAGGUUUGCACGACACUGAGCUCCGUGCUGGCUCCCAUAUCUCUACCCUAAAGAAACACAGGUAUUGUGUGUGUGUGUGAGAUGCAGGGUGACAGAAAAAAAAGGGAGUGCAAGCCCUAUAGCACUCAUUGUCUACAUGAGUGCCAAUACAUAUGUCGGCUUAUGUUUGGAAGACAUCAUUUUCUUCCCAGCUGCUUUCUUUUGUACCUGCCUCCCAGCACUUGAAGUGGGGCCUGCAAACCAGGUUUGAAAUGUGGCCGGACGGAAAUGCAGUAGCCAGGACAGAAUGGGAAACUCAGGAAGGAGGCUAAGGUGGGAGUCUCCGGUGUGGCCGGGAAGCCAUCCCCCCAGGAGGCCACGGGGGGGAGCUGUGGCUCUGCUCAGGGCGGCCACAGCCAGUAGGGGGGAGGAGAGGGCGGAAAAUAUACUGUAGCAAAGCGAUGGUGGAAGAGGAAAGGUAGGUUUUAUAAGUUCCUGAAUUUUAUGACUAUGCUGCAACGGUGGAAUGUCCACUCAAUCUGUUGCGAAGUUAGCACAGAAAACAUGCACUGGGCAUAUUAAGUACAGGAUGAAAUGGUGCAGUGAAUAUUUAUUAGCAAAAAUAUAGGUUCUCAAAAACAGAAAUAAAACAGGGUAAUAGAUGAAGGGAAGAAUAGAUUUAACACUGAAAUAAAUAUCAAAGGUGCAAAGAAAAGGCAAAAUAUAGUGUUCAAACAAAGCUGUGAAUUGGGUCCAGAUUUAAUGCUCCCCUAGGGAAGAAAAGGUUGGACAGACUGCUGGAAUUGAGAUACUACUUUUAGUACACAGUCCCUGUAAUGCUGUCAGCUUUAUUUCCUUUGACAAAUGUGAAAUAAAAUUUGUCAAAGUUAGGGCUUGGAAAGUUGGCUAUUGAAAAUUCAAUUGGUAAUAACUAGUAUAGCCUAGCACUCCGGAGAUUUUUAAAGGAGAGGGAUGUUUAAGAUGCUGGGGUGCGGGGGGAACCAUAUUACAUAUUGUAUUUCAGUUUUUAAAAAUUUAGCAGUUGACUUAGGCAACUGGAUUUCUGAGUUUCCUGUUAGCUGGGUUCACCGUUAAAAGGCGAUAAUUUAAAACCCGUUUCCACGAUAACUACAAUUAUAUUGUAAGUUUGAAAAUAUUCUGGUGUCUACACAGAGGAGGGCUCCUAUGAUCUCACUCAGCUUGGGGUCCACACGCCACGAAGACUUUGCUUGAUCCAAUUCUAUAGUAGUGCAGGGCGUGAUUGUGAAGUCAGUGCUACCCUCAUUCCACACUACAGAAUUCCUGACUCUGCUUCUCCUUCCACCAUGCAUUGGACACAUUUGCAGUGCAAACGGUGAUUUACUGGGAAUGUUUAACAACAGACUUUUCAUGUCUUCACAAGCCUCAGCCUUUCCCUUGCUGGGUGCAUGGCAGGUUUUCCGGGGAAGCUCUUGGAAGCCACUUCUCUCCCAUGCCGCUUGGCCAGCCCCACCCCCGC